GAUGAACGCUGGCGGCGUGCCUAAUACAUGCAAGUCGAGCGAACGGACGAGAAGCUUGCUUCUCUGAUGUUAGCGGCGGACGGGUGAGUAACACGUGGAUAACCUACCUAUAAGACUGGGAUAACUUCGGGAAACCGGAGCUAAUACCGGAUAAUAUUUUGAACCGCAUGGUUCAAAAGUAAAAGACGGUCUUGCUGUCACUUAUAGAUGGAUCCGCGCUGCAUUAGCUAGUUGGUAAGGUAACGGCUUACCAAGGCAACGAUGCAUAGCCGACCUGAGAGGGUGAGCGGCCACACUGGAACUGAGACACGGUCCAGACUCCUACGGGAGGCAGCAGUAGGGAAUCUUCCGCAAUGGGCGAAAGCCUGACGGAGCAACGCCGCGUGAGUGAUGAAGGUCUUCGGAUCGGAAAACUCUGUUAUUAGGGAAGAACAUAUGUGUAAGUAACUGUGCACAUCUUGACGGUACCUAAUCAGAAAGCCACGGCUAACUACGUG
This 497-nucleotide ribosomal RNA is filed under the name uncultured bacterium. Its description in RNAcentral is "partial 16S ribosomal RNA". It matches the Rfam family "Bacterial small subunit ribosomal RNA", at positions 28 to 507 of the family's 1533-position model. The record is from RNAcentral.